ACUUGAGCCAUCGCGCUGAGCAUUACGGAAGUCACUUGGGAAGCCGAUGAAAAGCGGGGGAGAGGAGAUGCCGCGCGAAAAGAGUCAUUCGCCACGACGGCAUCGGCUCUCUCCUACGGACUGACUUUCCCGAUAAUCACAGCCGACGGUCGUCGGGGACGUCGGGGCGUGGAAGGCGGAAGCAUGAAUUACGUAGUCCGGAUUACGUCGAGCGAGCUAUCAGCACGAGGACAACGGCGACGAAGACGGUGACGGUGGCAGAGGAGAAGGAGGAUCGAAAGAAAUGCGAGCUGGAACGGGCGUGAAGAAGAAGAAGAAGAAGAGGGAGUCAAGUCGCCGGUGGUCCAUUGUGGCAAUUUAUGCGAUAGAAUUUACAUUGUAGAACGCUUAUUCGGCCCGAAUUUUUUCGUCAAUAAAGAAACACGUCUGGCAUCGCCGAAUCGAGGUCGGCUCGAGUAUUUCCGCCAAAGGAUGAAAUAUAUCCGGAUUUAUCACCGA
Molecule: long non-coding RNA, 498 nt
Organism: Dinoponera quadriceps
Lineage: Eukaryota; Metazoa; Arthropoda; Insecta; Hymenoptera; Formicidae
Exons: 2
Source: RefSeq, a predicted model, not a curated record